CUCAGAGGCCAGGAGGGUUCUGUGCCCGCUGCCCCCACCCCUGGUCUCCAUGGGGGUGACCCCCAUGUGUUCGCGUGGUCACUUCUGGCCUUUCCUUUUCCAAGAAAAGUCAGCAGAUUUACCAAAGCAGCACGGCACAGCGGUCAGGCACGAGCCUCUGAGUCUGAACUGUAGCUUCAGCAGUUACCAAGCACAGCACAUGUCUUCAGAUUCACUCAAGGGAAUAGAAGACUCCAAAUCACCGGAUUCUAUCCUGCUGCCAGUGAGAAUUAAGGAUAAUUGCACAGACAUUUUACAUUUGCUUCAAAGAAGGAACUAUU
Molecule: non-coding RNA, 320 nt
Organism: Microcebus murinus (gray mouse lemur)
Lineage: Eukaryota; Metazoa; Chordata; Mammalia; Primates; Cheirogaleidae
Source: RefSeq, a predicted model, not a curated record